This 253-nucleotide ribosomal RNA is filed under the name uncultured bacterium. RNAcentral's name for it is "partial 16S ribosomal RNA". It matches the Rfam family "Bacterial small subunit ribosomal RNA", at positions 524 to 776 of the family's 1533-position model. The record is from RNAcentral.
UACGGGGGGGGCAAGCGUUGUUCGGAAUUACUGGGCGUAAAGGGCUCGUAGGCGGCCCACUAAGUCGGAUGUGAAAUCCCCAGGCUUAACCUGGGAACUGCAUCCGAUACUGGAUGGCUUGAAUCCGGGAGAGGGAUGCAGAAUUCCAGGUGUAGCGGUGAAAUGCGUAGAUAUCUGGAGGAAUACCGGUGGCGAAGGCGGCAUCCUGGACCGGCAUUGACGCUGAUGAGCGAAAGCUAGGGGAGCAAACGGG